AGAGCUCUAGCUCCGGAGCGCGCCAAGUUGAAGGCCAAAGUCGAGGUUGGGAUGCCCGAUGCCUGGCGCGGGGAGACGGAGGAAGCAAAGUGCUGCUGCCUGGUGGAAAUACAGUAUUAUAUAAUGACAUGCUACUAUGCAUCUCUACCUAACUCCUCGUCUGGUGAUGCCAUAUUGAAAUCAGCCAUACUGAGAGUAUUUACACACUGCUGAAGUCAGUAAAUGCUACAAAUCAAGGCUUGAAUGUAACCUACAUGAGAAAGAGUUGCCUUGCUCACUGCCGUAUCCCAGUAUCCCAAGAACCUUGGAGAUGCUCUAUGAAUACUGAAUGAAUCUGAGAGGAAACUAGCCCGAAGGGGGAAGGCUCUGGAAGCAAGCCCUCAUGGACCAACGGAGAAAAAGGAAACUGAAUCUUGGGGAGAUUAAGCAACUCUUUCAAGGUCAACCGGGGAGCGGCAGAACCAGAGUUCGAAGGAAACCUUUCUGAAUCUGACGUCUGCCCCUUCUAAAUUAGGACUCUCAUCUAUCAGCCUGUGAGAAAAAAUACAGAAAGCAUCAUUCAGGCAACACAUGAACUCAAGACACUGA
This 588-nucleotide long non-coding RNA is filed under the name Homo sapiens (human). RNAcentral's name for it is "non-protein coding lnc-DRD2-1:11". Lineage: Eukaryota; Metazoa; Chordata; Mammalia; Primates; Hominidae. The record is from RNAcentral.